GCUCAAGUUUUCUGUUUUCUUGUCUUAUUUCUUGUUUGAUAAAUAUGUUGCAUCUUCAAAGUGAUUGGCAGGUGUGUAAAUCAAAUGAUACAAACCCCCUGAAAAACCCCUGAAAAUCAAUUUUCAUUCCAGGUUGAAUGGCAACAAAAUAGGAAAAAUGCCAAGGGGGGUGAAUACUUUCGCAAGCCACUGUACACACUAUAGUUCAUGAAGCCUACAGGUUUCAGACUGCUAUGGACGUAAACACUAUAAUCCAUGUUCCCUACAGGUUUCAGACUGCUAUGGACGUAAACACUAUAAUCCAUGUUCCCUACAGGUUUCAGACUGCUAUGGAUGUAAACACUAUAAUCCAUGUUCCCUACAGGUUUCAGACCUGAACACUAUAGUCCAUUUAGCCUUCAGGUUUCAGACUGCUUUGUACCUAAACACUGUACCCAGCUGACAACGAACAUUCCCACAACUUUAGAAAAUGAGUCUCAUUAGGUCAUUAAAUAAUGUUUUUCAUACGAAUGUCCCUGUGAUGUGUAAGGAAUGUUUUCAAAAGACAAUUCAUUUGAAUGUCCAAUAGAACGUGUUUACCAUGUUCUCAGAACUUAAUAUUUCCCCAAUUGUUUUAUUUAUUACACAUCAAGGCCCUGCUUGGUGAACCACUGAUCCACUCAUAGCUAUUUGUCUGUUGUCAAGGAGAUUCACACACACACAGUGCUUUUAACAUACUGUUUUCAACAAACAUAUGACACAUUCUGACAAACGUGAUUACAUAGUGCAUGUUCAUUUUUUACAUUAUUAUUCUCACCUGGGAUUUGAACUCACAACCUCUUGGUUCAUCGUACUCUGAUCUUCCUGCCUCGCCUCCAUGUUGGGUCUCAGUUAAUCUGACUAUUCUCUCAUAAUUUAUUACUUAUUUCAGCAAUUUAAUGGCUUUCUGUAUAAUUGUCUAACUUUGGGUCAUUUUAACCUGUAUUAAAUGAUACUCCUGAAA
This is a long non-coding RNA of Oncorhynchus tshawytscha (Chinook salmon), 982 nucleotides long. RefSeq lists it as uncharacterized. The transcript has 2 exons. Lineage: Eukaryota; Metazoa; Chordata; Actinopteri; Salmoniformes; Salmonidae. The record is from RefSeq and is a predicted model, not a curated record.